This 554-nucleotide ribosomal RNA is filed under the name uncultured bacterium. Its description in RNAcentral is "bacterial SSU rRNA". It matches the Rfam family "Bacterial small subunit ribosomal RNA", at positions 355 to 896 of the family's 1533-position model. The record is from RNAcentral.
UGGGGAAUCUUCCGCAAUGGCGAAGCCUGGCGGAGCAACGCCGCGGGGGGGGUGAAGACGGCCUUCGGGUUGUAAAGCUCUGUUAUACGGGACGAAUAGUCUUGUGGUUAAUACCCAUAAGAAGUGACGGUACCGUAAGAGAAAGCCACGGCUAACUACGUGCCAGCAGCCGCGGUAAUACGUAGGUGGCAAGCGUUGUCCGGAAUUAUUGGGCGUAAAGGGCGCGCAGGCGGCUUCUUAAGUCUGUCUUAAAAGUGCGGGGCUUAACCCCGUGAUGGGAUGGAAACUGGGAAGCUCAGAGUAUCGGAGAGGAAAGCGGAAUUCCUAGUGUAGCGGUGAAAUGCGUAGAUAUUAGGAGGAACACCAGAGUAGCGAAAGCGGCUUUCUGGACGAAAACUGACGCUGAGGCGCGAAAGCCAGGGGAGCGAACGGGAUUAGAUACCCCGGUAGUCCUGGCCGUAAACGAUGGGUACUAGGUGUAGGAGGUAUCGACCCCUUCUGUGCCGGAGUUAACGCAAUAAGUACCCCGCCUGGGGAGUACGGCCGCAAGGUUG